RNAcentral lists this ribosomal RNA (497 nucleotides) under uncultured bacterium. Its description in RNAcentral is "partial 16S ribosomal RNA". It matches the Rfam family "Bacterial small subunit ribosomal RNA", at positions 28 to 507 of the family's 1533-position model. The record is from RNAcentral.
GACGAACGCUGGCGGCGUGCCUAAUACAUGCAAGUUGAGCGCUGAAGGUUGGUACUUGUACCGACUGGAUGAGCAGCGAACGGGUGAGUAACGCGUGGGGAAUCUGCCUUUGAGCGGGGGACAACAUUUGGAAACGAAUGCUAAUACCGCAUAAAAACUUUAAACACAAGUUUUAAGUUUGAAAGAUGCAAUUGCAUCACUCAAAGAUGAUCCCUCGUUGUAUUAGCUAGUUGGUGAGGUAAAGGCUCACCAAGGCGAUGAUACAUAGCCGACAUGAGAGGGUGAUCGGCCACAUUGGGACUGAGACACGGCCCAAACGCCUACGGGAGGCAGCAGUAGGGAAUCUUCGGCAAUGGACGAAAGUCUGACCGAGCAACGCCGCGUGAGUGAAGAAGGUUUUCGGAUCGUAAAACUCUGUUGGUAGAGAAGAACGUUGGUGAGAGUGGAAAGCUCAUCAAGUGACGGUAACUACCCAGAAAGGGACGGCUAACUACGUG